This 1137-nucleotide ribosomal RNA is filed under the name Calvadosia cruxmelitensis. RNAcentral describes it as "bacterial LSU rRNA". It matches the Rfam family "Bacterial large subunit ribosomal RNA", at positions 1783 to 2925 of the family's 2925-position model. The record is from RNAcentral. Lineage: Eukaryota; Metazoa; Cnidaria; Staurozoa; Stauromedusae; Kishinouyeidae.
CAGGUGGCUGCGACUGUUUAGCAAAAACACAGCACUCUGCUAACGCGAAAGCGGACGUAUAGGGUGUGACGCCUGCCCGGUGCCGGAAGGUUAAUUGAUGGGGUUAGCUUAUGCGAAGCUCUUGAUCGAAGCCCCGGUAAACGGCGGCCGUAACAAUAACGGUCCUAAGGUAGCGAAAUUCCUUGUCGGGUAAGUUCCGACCUGCACGAAUGGCGUAACGACGGCCACACUGUCUCCACCUAAGACUCAGUGAAAUUGAAUUCGCGGUUAAGAUGCCGCGUACCCGCGGCUAGACGGAAAGACCCCGUGCACCUUUACUACAGCUUUGCACUGAACAUUGGACCUACUUGUGUAGGAUAGCUGGGAGGCUUUGAAACUGGGACGCUAGUUCUGGUGGAGCCAAUCUUGAAAUACCAGCCUGGUAGUUUUGAUGUUCUAACCAUGGCCCCUUAUCGGGGUUUGGGACAGUGUAUGGUGGGUAGUUUGACUGGGGCGGUCUCCUCCUAAAGCGUAACGGAGGAGCGCGAAGGUUCACUAAUCAGGGUCGGAAAUCCUGAGGUUUGUGCAAAGGCAUAAGUGAGCUUGACUGCGAGACAGACACGUCGAGCAGGUACGAAAGUAGGUCUUAGUGAUCCGGUGGUUCUGUAUGGAAGGGCCAUCGCUCAACGGAUAAAAGGUACGCCGGGGAUAACAGGCUGAUCUCCCCCAAGAGCUCAUAUCGACGGGGAGGUUUGGCACCUCGAUGUCGGCUCGUCACAUCCUGGGGCUGGAGAAGGUCCCAAGGGUUGGGCUGUUCGCCCAUUAAAGUGGCACGCGAGCUGGGUUCAGAACGUCGCAAGACAGUUCGGUCUCUAUCUGUUGUGGGCGUAGGAAUAUUGAGAAGAUCUGACACUAGUACGAGAGGACCGUGUUGGACUUACCUCUGGUGUACCAGUUGUGCCGUCCGGUGCAGUGCUGGGUAGCUACGUAGGGAAUGGAUAAGUGCUGAAAGCAUCUAAGCACGAAGCCAACUUCAAGAUGAAUAUUCACUGGCGUAUGCCGGGAGGGUCGUGGAAGAUGACCACGUUGAUAGGUUAUAGGUGGAAGUGCAGCGAUGUAUGGAGCCGAGUAAUACUAAUUACCCAAUAGCUUCCGUAA